This 2946-nucleotide long non-coding RNA is filed under the name Triticum aestivum (bread wheat). RNAcentral's name for it is "long non-coding RNA (TAES_LNC013011)". Lineage: Eukaryota; Viridiplantae; Streptophyta; Magnoliopsida; Poales; Poaceae. The record is from RNAcentral.
GUUUCGUCGCUACGCGCUGCUUCCACCCGUUCCGGAGAACCUGGAACUCCAGGAGAAAGGCCCUGUACGAACCAAUUCCUUACUCAUGCACAUUGCCGAGGAUGAGGAUGAGACACUGUUCAAGGUGAUAUGCUUGGCUAACUAUACAACCAAUCUGGUUGCAUUUCUAUUCUCUUCCGUCACAGGAGAAUGGUGCAUAGCCGCAACUGUCAGCUGGAGCUCUUUGGGCAGCCAGCCACAGAUAUGGCAAAACUUCAGAGGUUGCGAAUACCGUGGCGUGUCCUGUUUUGACUGCGCGCGCGGCUCCUACUACUCAACAUCGACUUUUAACGACAAGCUGCUUGUGUUGGACACAAGGAAAAUGGAAUUUUGCACUGUCGAUGAUCGUACUGGCUACCAUAUGAACCUCAGAUGUCUGCCUGGCCAGCACGAAGACAUUCUCGACAUCUAUGUGCCAUCCCGAUGCCGGCCUGGCCAGAGUAGAAGUCUGCCUCGCAUUGUUGUGGGUAGAGAAGGAGCCCUUGAGAUGUUUUCUCUCGUCGGUGAUCACACUCCAAAUGGCUCUUUUGAUCUCUAUCAUACCGCUCAGCAAAAUAAUGGCCAGUCUUCCAAGGAAUGGCAACUGGAGAAUAUUAUCCCGUUGCCCAGCAAGUAUGACUAUUUCACUGUGGGCGCAGCUGAGGGAUUCUUAUUCCUUGGAGCCACUACAGAAGAUCAGCUCGACAUUGUUGAAGGCUCCCCUAUGAGCUUGUUGACGACUGACUGGAAUGUAGAUUAUUUUGCAUUGGAUGUCAAGACUUCUGAACUUACUAAGGUUUGUAGGAGGAGGAGGCAAUUCUUCCAUAAAGAAGAUGUUCACUGCUACUUUGGCUUCCCCCUGUCAUUGUCAAAACCGAGUAUAUGAUGAAGUGGUAAGUUUAUUUUGUUUAUAUUUGGCGCGCUUUGGGAACUGUGUGUUGGCCAGUUGGCUAGUGGCGCGCGUCCGGCUGCGUGCCCAGCCCGCCACCCGCGUUCGAGCCACGGGCUCCGCAAGGUGUGACUGGGUUGUUUCUUCUUUUUUUUUUGAGGGAAAUGCCCUCAUGGCGGUUUAUAUUUCAUGAGCAAAAAGGGCUACAUCUUCUGACAAAAUGUCUAACAAAAAACCCGGAGGCUCGGACUGCCAUACAAUGGUUCGCGAGUCCUCCGACAUAGUAGCUAACAUAUUAGCCGCCAUAUUGGCUUCCUUAGGGCAGUGUUGAAAACUAACUGAAACAAAAUUACGACAAAUAAAAGCGCACUCCUCAUAAAUAGCUGCUGCCGGUCCAAGCGAGUUGCCUCUAGAUUGCAUCACUUGGAUCACUUCCAUACAGUCGGCCUCAAUCACCAGUUUGUUGCAGCCCAUGUCGUUUGCCAGAAUGAGGCCGUCUCGGAGCCCUCGGGCUUCCGCCGUCGCCGCGUCCUCAACGAACCGAAUGUCGCUACAUGAUGCUGCAAUGAAGGAUCCAGAAGCAUCGUGUAAGAUUGCACCUGAACCCCCUGAACCACUGUCCUCAGAAAAAGAGGCAUCUACGUUGAGUUUUACAAAUCCCUCACUUGGCUUGGUCCAUCCAUGUCUCUCAAUCUGGCCUGGACCCUUUUUCUUUGCUCUUGAGAAGUUCUUGGACAGCGUCGAAAUUGCUUGUGCUGAUCUGGGUUGUUUCUUCUUAAUUAAAAUGCCACAGGGCAAAUCCUAGUUGGUCUAGUUUUAAGAACAGAGCAGUGGCCGGUUGGUUAGUGCACAUGCCAAUGAGCUCAGGCAUCCGUGCUCGAGGCGUGGCCUCCGCAGGGUGCCUCACUUCUGCCUAAACAACAUACAGUUUUUGUUUUGGAACAGCGAGCUUCCUCGUCGAUUUCUAUUAGAGAAAAACAACAUAUAGUUAAGGGAGGGAAACUUCCCCCAUUAACCAUGUAUUUUAAUUUUUGGCAUGCUUUGCUGUCCUAAUUGUGCAUGCUGAGAGUUAAUGUUUCAUGCUAUUUUGAGAACAUAUCUAGCCAUUAAAGGUGGUCAUGAUUUAUUUCUGUCCUGUUCAAUAGUUGUCAUGCAACCUGCCAGUCAAAGAAAACAAAUUCAUUACAUAGCAGGAAAGGCAUCUCUAUCCCACCAAAUUUGCAUAUUAUGCUCAUCAGUUAAUGUUUGAGGGCCAUUCACAUUUUUGGAACGGCUUUAAUUUACCAUUCACAUCUUAAGUUCCUGCUACUAUUGUUGUUGUAUACUGCUUCCUAACUGAAAUAAGAAUACAUGAUGGCUAUGGAACAUUUGAAAGCAUGAAAGAGCAGCUUAUGUACAUUUAGUUUGAAACUGUACUGUUUUUUCAAUUUCGCAUGAAAGACAUUACUGUGAAACUAUGGAAGCAUAUUUCUGUUGCAUUUAGAUGACUUGCGUGUUAUGAGUUUUAAUUGAAUAUAUCUGCAGGGAUCAACUCGCUUUGCUUUUGGGGUUCUUGUACUUGGGCCAUGUAUCUGAUGCCUUUGAUGAAAUGGAGGAUGGGCAUGAUGGUGCUGAGAAAUAUGCUCACUGGAUAUAGCACUCAAGCCUUGGUAUUAUUCAUUAAGAAUUAGCCAUCAUGUAUUUUCUAUGGUUGUAUUAGGCUUUUUUAAGCAAAGACAUGUUGUAAACAAGCUGAAUUUGUUGAACUCUAUCUGUAAUGAGUGUUGUACUGUACUUUUGUACUGGAAGCAUGACAUUGUCUGUUUAUCCUUGUUCAGUCCUUAACCUGGCCAUGUUUGCAGCCACAUCAUGCUCUGCUCAGCAUGCUCAUGCAUCAUCUUGCUUUUAAGCAUCUGAUGAUUUGUUACAGGUUGUUGUUGCCCAUGCUGUUUCCAGUGUCCGAGUUAAUGUUUUGUUGGGUGCCUUUUCAGAAUCAGGAAAGCAACAUUUAUCUUGUCAUGUUCAAGUCACAUUUUGAUUUUUGAGGCUUCUGGAAAAAA